AGAUAUGAGGGCAAUCUGUCUGUAAUAUCUGUCACCCCAGUGAUCAUCAGGGUUGAUUUUGCUGAUCUGGCUGCCUAGGCAGGUGUCCCCGUCCCCUUCUUCCCUCACCACUCCAUGUGCAUCCCUCCUGAAGCUGCAUGCCUGGUCAUGAGGAUGAGCAUCCCCAAUAAAGGAAGACCAUUCUUCCGUCAAAGGUAGAUGAGUAGCUGUGCUCCCCUGCUGGAACCUCCAAACAAUCUCUCCCACAUGUUUCCACAUGUUGCCAAGCAUCCCUUACAGG
The sequence is an unclassified non-coding RNA, 280 nucleotides long. Its record names the gene 7SK. It matches the Rfam family "7SK RNA". Rfam says of the family: 7SK was discovered as an abundant small nuclear RNA in the mid-70s but a possible function has only recently been suggested. Two independent studies have found that 7SK RNA binds the CDK9/cyclin T complex (known as elongation factor P-TEFb). The record is from Ensembl.